AAACCGAGUCUUAAUUGGGCGUUAAGUUGCAGGGUAUAGACCCGAAACCCGGUGAUCUAGCCAUGGGCAGGUUGAAGGUUGGGUAACACUAACUGGAGGACCGAACCGACUAAUGUUGAAAAAUUAG
Molecule: ribosomal RNA, 127 nt
Filed under: Cronobacter dublinensis 582
Lineage: Bacteria; Pseudomonadati; Pseudomonadota; Gammaproteobacteria; Enterobacterales; Enterobacteriaceae
Description: Large Subunit Ribosomal RNA; lsuRNA; LSU rRNA
Rfam family: Bacterial large subunit ribosomal RNA
Source: RNAcentral